Molecule: non-coding RNA, 997 nt
Organism: Myodes glareolus (Bank vole)
Lineage: Eukaryota; Metazoa; Chordata; Mammalia; Rodentia; Cricetidae
Source: RefSeq, a predicted model, not a curated record
AGCACGUCAACAACAUCCUCUGUGGUCUUUACUCCAUGUGCGUUCACGUGAGCCUCCUCGUCGCCCUCCUUCUAAGGACUCUUGUCAUCUUAGAUGAGAGUCUGCGGUGCUCAAUUUAUCAACCUGACAAGAUCUAGAACCAUCUAGGAGGCAAACCUUUGAGCGUGUCUGUGAGGCACUUUCGAGACCUUUUAAUUGAAGUGGAAGACACUCCUCCAAAAGGUACAAAUGCCUUCACUUGAUUAAUACCCACCGGUGACCUGGGAAUGUUGGGAUGCAAACACCGUACAUGCUGCAUCAGUUGAUAGAGGUGACGUGGAAGCCGGAGAAUCCAUCCAAGCCAGGCCUAGUCUUGCAUCUCUCUUCAUCGGCCCCUGGCUUCCCCAGCUGGAUGUGUUGAAGUUCUCAACUGUCUCCCUCUCCAGCCUAGGACAGCCCAAGUGAUGGUAGGCAAGGAGCCUACCAUGGGAAGAUUUGGCCCCCCAGGUGCUGCUCUGAGCACCUAGGCAAUCCUUAGUGGUGAUGUUUGGCUAGACUGAGGUUUUCCUCCUGCCUGUUUUUUUUUCCCCAAGGCCUUUCCACUCUCCAUUUAUUUCUCCAGUGGAUUUGGGCCUCUCCUCUGAACCCCAGAUGAUUAAUAUGGCCACAAUCCCGGCCCUACUCUUGCUGCCUCGAGGCCCCCAGAGAGGACACUGACCCUGAGACAAUCAAGACUUAACUCUCACUUUGAGGGCAGGCCCACUUUAUCACGUGCCUCUGAUAACCAAGCAAGCACGUGCGAGCCAUUCUUAACCCACACUGAAGGGACAAAGACUACAUUGUGUUUGAAGUCCUUGAAGACACGAGGGUCAAAUAUGCAGGAUCCUUGAUGAGAAUACAGAUGCAGGUGUGGGGCAUAGCGUGGUGAUGUGUCUAAUCUACAUAAUUUCCUCUAUUUCUGUCAGUAGGUAAUAACUGAAGCUUAUGAAUAAAGAAUGUUCUGGAGGUUUCGAGAGGA